This 253-nucleotide ribosomal RNA is filed under the name uncultured bacterium. RNAcentral describes it as "partial 16S ribosomal RNA". It matches the Rfam family "Bacterial small subunit ribosomal RNA", at positions 524 to 776 of the family's 1533-position model. The record is from RNAcentral.
UACGUAGGGUGCGAGCGUUGUCCGGAAUUAUUGGGCGUAAAGGGCUCGUAGGCGGUUUGUCGCGUCGGGAGUGAAAACAUCGGGCUUAACUCGGUGCUUGCUUUCGAUACGGGCAGACUUGAGGCAUGCAGGGGAGAACGGAAUUCCUGGUGUAGCGGUGAAAUGCGCAGAUAUCAGGAGGAACACCGGUGGCGAAGGCGCCACUCUGGGCCGGUACUGACGCUGAGGAGCGAAAGCGUGGGUAGCAAACCGG